UACGGAGGGUGCAAACGUUGCUCGGAAUCAUUGGGCGUAAAGCGCACGUAGGUGGCCUGUUAAGUCGGGUGUGAAAUCCCUGGGCUCAACCCAGGAAGUGCACUCGAAACUGGCAGGCUUGAGUACUGAAGAGGGUCGCGGAAUUCCCGGUGUAGAGGUGAAAUUCGUAGAUAUCGGGAGGAACACCAGUGGCGAAGGCGGCGACCUGGGCAGAUACUGACGCUGAGGUGCGAAAGCGUGGGGAGCAAACAGG
This 253-nucleotide ribosomal RNA is filed under the name uncultured bacterium. Its description in RNAcentral is "partial 16S ribosomal RNA". It matches the Rfam family "Bacterial small subunit ribosomal RNA", at positions 524 to 776 of the family's 1533-position model. The record is from RNAcentral.